RNAcentral lists this ribosomal RNA (221 nucleotides) under uncultured bacterium. RNAcentral's name for it is "partial 16S ribosomal RNA". It matches the Rfam family "Bacterial small subunit ribosomal RNA", at positions 524 to 744 of the family's 1533-position model. The record is from RNAcentral.
UACGUAGGGUGCAAGCGUUAAUCGGAAUUACUGGGCGUAAAGCGUGCGCAGGCGGUUAUGUAAGACAGAUGUGAAAUCCCCGGGCUCAACCUGGGAACUGCAUUUGUGACUGCAUAGCUAGAGUACGGUAGGAGGGGAUGGAAUUCCGCGUGUAGCAGUGAAAUGCGUAGAUAUGCGGAGGAACACCGAUGGCGAAGGCAAUCCCCUGGACCUGUACUGAC